CUGGAGCUGGACACUUAGAAUAUGGCUCCCGUGGUUUAUUUAAGGGGGUAUAUUAAAGGCAGGGGUAAGGUCUCAGGGGUGGAGUCUUGUUUCAUUUUGUCUUGCAGUCAGCAGGUUGAUUGGCAUCUUGGCAGGUCACACCCAUCUCUGAGAGGCUGUUAGACUGUAGCAGGUCACCCAAUCUCCUCUGUUGUGUGGGACCUGGGGCAGAGCAGAAUAGGGCUCACAAAGUGUUUGGGUGGUCUUGGCUAGAGGAAAUUUCCACUGGAAGGUCCCAGAAACCAGAUUCUCCUAUUCACUGGCUGUGAUGCCAAUGUAGUCCACACACAGCCCACAGAUGGCUCUCGACAACCAACUCACUCCAUUCUUCAAGGCUCUAAUAUAGGAAGAACAUCAUGGAAGAAGGGCGUGACUGAGAAAAGUAGCUGGGGACAUCACCAGGAAGCAGAACAAGAGAGAGGGAAUGUUCCUCACUAGAGACAAAAUAUAAACCCCAAAGUCACUCCCCAGUCACUCACCUCUUCCACUCACACCAUCCAGUUAAUCCCUGUCAAGGAAUUCAUGCACUGAUUGGGUCAAGGCUCUCACAACCCAAUCAUUUCACCUCUAAACAUUCCUUCAUUGUCUCACACAUGAGCUUUUGGGAGACACCUGACACCCAAACCAUAACAACUCUACUGGAGUGUUUCAAAGGAAGGCGCACAUUCAUUCCAUAAUUCUUGAAAGCACACAUUGCAUAGUUCCUAUAGCCUUAUGGAUCACAUGUGCUAAAGGCAGAAAGAAUACCACAAAGAGAAAACCUAACAUUUAAGUUUGAAAGGUGAAUACAUAAACUCUUGGAACUCAGUGGAAAACCUUCCUGAGAAAUCAUUCAUUCUAAUCCUCCGGUCCAAUGCUAGGGUGCUGCUUGGCCUCAGGAUUUGGAAUACCUCCAGUUUUUUACCCACAGUUGAAUUAAUCUAUACUUUCUAUUUUAAGAUCUACAUGGAUUCUCCUUGCAGACAAGAGUUUGAUGAAGGUAGAGGCAAAUAGGCAAAAAUUAAAGAUAAGUAUAGAUCUGAAAUUCAUUUACUGUGAAAAUAAUGAAAUCUAAUCUAUCCAUACAUUUGAACAAAUUUUGCAAAAAAUAAGAAUUUAAUUUUCAAUAAACAUUGUUUU
RNAcentral lists this long non-coding RNA (1158 nucleotides) under Marmota monax (woodchuck). The record is from RNAcentral. Lineage: Eukaryota; Metazoa; Chordata; Mammalia; Rodentia; Sciuridae.